UACUGAUUUAGUGGUAGAGCGUCCGUCUCAGAUGCGGGAGGUCGCGGGUUUGAACCCUGGCCUUGUCAU
Molecule: non-coding RNA, 69 nt
Organism: Potamilus streckersoni
Lineage: Eukaryota; Metazoa; Mollusca; Bivalvia; Unionida; Unionidae
Source: the annotation of a GenBank genome assembly